CGUCUCAGGGAUUUGUGCACUCUCUUAUUUUUAGGAAUUAUGAAUAUGUUUUGACGGGGUGGCCGUAGACGGAGCUCUCUAGUUACAGCACCUGCAGACACUGUUGCUACACCCCCAGUAGAGGAUGCAGCACCGUCGCAUACAUCUAUGCCAGUACCAUCGCAUACACCUAUGUCAGUCCCAUCGCAUAUAUCUAUGCCAGUACCUUCCUCUACAGGAUCGCCUUCUCCUUCGGCAGUGCCUUCUCCUUCCACAGUACCUUCACCGAUUGAGUCGCCAGUACCCUCUUUCGUUCCUUCUCAACACUCGGUUGCUGAGAGGCCAGACACUCGAGAGCCUAUAUCCCCUUGUGGAGAUUCAUUUGAUAAUUCUGUCCGUGUUAUUCAUGAGAUUAAUAGAAUCGUGAAUAACCAUUGGAGAGGAGACUCGAUGAGUUAUACAAGUACUCCAGCACCGACAAGAGAGCUAUGGUGGAGUGAAUUUAAGCGAUCAUUCACUUGGGACAUGAUUGAUGAGAUGGAAAUAAAGAGGAUUUUCAUGAAAAAAUGUGGCGAUCACAUUCAUCAUGUACUCAAUCAUGCAAAGUCGAGGGGGAAAAAAACCACCAUUCAUCACCGAGGAAAAUUGGAUAAGGAUUUCAAAUAUUUGGACAAGUGAGGAGUUUAAAAAAAGAAGUCACCAGAAUAAAAUAAAUCAAUCUUUUAAUUCUGGAGAAUUGUCUGCGACAUAUGCAGGAGGCUCUAUCAAUGUGGAUGAGUAUAGACAUAGAUCGGUAAUUUUUUAACUCUCCUAAUAUUUUCUUAAUCUAUUUUACACUAUUUAUUUAUUUCUAAUUAUCUUUUUUAGACCAAAGAAUUGGGAAAGGAGCCUACUUUUAUAGAUACUUUCACCCGCACAUUUCAGAAAAAAGAUAAGACUUGGAGCGGGGACAGAGCUAAAGCAAUUAAGGAAAAAUAUGUUGAGUUAGAGGUAGCACAGAGAUGUUCAGCUUCUGCUAGUUCUGAUAUUAAGGGGUCUGAGCCGUCUGUUGGUAGUGAUUUCAAUUUAUGGCUGCAGGCUAGUGGGGGGCCAAAAAGGGGAGGAAAGAUAUUCGGAAUGGGUUCAUUGAGCAGAACCCAUAGAGUUGGUCGUAUAUCUUCUUCCUCCUCCUCACAUACCCAGCAGAUGCAUAACUUGACUGAAGAGGUUUCCCAGUUGAAGGGCAUUAUAAAGAACAGGGAUGAAGAAAUGAGAGAAAUGCGCCGACAACAAGAUUUUAUUAUGCGACAUCUUCAGUUAAGUUCUGUUCCAAGUCAUAUUCCUUCCGGUGACGGUGAUGAUGGUGAUGAUGAUAAUGGCGGUGGUGGUGAUUCUUGAUAAAUUUAUGGAAAAGAAGUACGGAAGGUGACCGAAGCUCCUGAGACAUGAUGAUAUGUAUUUUAUUUUCUUUUGGAUGUCUUGUUACAUUUGUUGUUUGGAUUAUUAUAGAACUUUCAUGUUUGAUAUUAUGAGUUGUUGAAUUUGUUUGGAUUUUGGUUAGUUGUAUAUAUGAAUAUGAUGUGUUUAGUUUUGGGAUGAUUUGUUUGGAUAUAAGAUAUAUGGAUUAUGGA
Molecule: long non-coding RNA, 1589 nt
Organism: Zingiber officinale
Lineage: Eukaryota; Viridiplantae; Streptophyta; Magnoliopsida; Zingiberales; Zingiberaceae
Exons: 6
Source: RefSeq, a predicted model, not a curated record